Molecule: long non-coding RNA, 545 nt
Filed under: Anser brachyrhynchus (Pink-footed goose)
Lineage: Eukaryota; Metazoa; Chordata; Aves; Anseriformes; Anatidae
Description: lncRNA (ENSABRG00000013373.1)
Source: RNAcentral
UGUCUCUUGACCCAAAUGGCCAAGCAAAAUAUGCAAUCUUCCACGAGAAGAAACUGACAACAAAAUCAGGAGUAUCCUGCCAUCAGUCUGCACCAAGAACUCACAUCAACAUCAAUGGAAGCUUUGCGUGCAUUGUGCAGUUUAGCUUCUUGCCACUGUUUGGACCACAACUGUUUGUUUUACCAAAGCGUGAUCUUGGAUCCUCAUGACUGGUUUGAAACUGAACUGAGAUAAAAUAUAAUUGCUUUUGGCAAAUCCUCUCUGCCUACUAGGUGGUUCUUUCUAGGCAAUCGAAACUACCUAUGCAUAUCUAAAGUAUACAUCUGGAGCUGGUCAGAUCAUUUCCAUGAAAUGAAAUCUCAUCAAAAUAUGCUGCCCUGUCAGAGCCAAAGCAUUUUGUGGAAAACACAUCCGUUUAGGUGAAGUUUUAAUCAGGGAGGUAUUCAAGACACAAGGCUAUUGGUCACUUCUCAUGGGGGAGACAGAGAAAGCGUGCAGCCCAGUUUGAAAACCCAUGAUUUUUCAUCACAAACCAAUAAUUUCAG